This 343-nucleotide ribosomal RNA is filed under the name uncultured bacterium. RNAcentral's name for it is "bacterial SSU rRNA". It matches the Rfam family "Bacterial small subunit ribosomal RNA", at positions 8 to 349 of the family's 1533-position model. The record is from RNAcentral.
AGAGUUUGAUCAUGGCUCAGGAUGAACGCUAGCUACAGGCUUAACACAUGCAAGUCGAGGGGCAGCAUGUUGGUUGCUUGCAACCAACGAUGGCGACCGGCGCACGGGUGAGUAACGCGUAUCCAACCUACCCUUGUCCAUCGGAUAACCCGUCGAAAGGCGGCCUAACACGAUAUGCGGUUCACAGCAGGCAUCUAACGUGAACGAGAUGUGAAGGAGAAGGAUGGGGAUGCGUCUGAUUAGCUUGUUGGCGGGGUAACGCCACAAGGCUACGAUCAGUAGGGGUCUGAGAGGAAGGUCCCCCANAUUGGAACUGAGACACGGUCCAAACUCUACGGGAGCA